AGACUGUGUGUAAUGAAUGAAUAUAAUAUACAAGUUUCACUUUUUGAAUGGAAUUAGUGAAAUAAAUCAACUUUUUGAUGAUAUUCUAAUUAUAUGACCAGCACCUGUAUGUAUACAUACAUACGUGUGUGUGUUUGUUUGCUUGUUAGUUAUUUUAAUGCCCAAACAUAAUUAACACUGUAAGAGCAUUACUAAAUAAGUAAAUCUAAAAAUGUAUUUUUUUUUAAAAAAUUUUUUAUAUAUUCUGUAAAUUAUUCUUUUUCUUUUCUGCAUUUCACCUCUGCUAUAGUUUAUUUAUUAUAAACCUGGCAUUGUAUAAUAAAUAUUGUUGGCUCUGUGACAGAUUAUUUAUGUUCCUAGAUUCUUCUACGCUGAUGGCUGUACACUAGAGUUGGAGCGUAUCUCCUGUCGAAGAACAUCUUUAGACAUUAUGAGUCAUAUGACUAGUAAGUAAUACCUCAAACAUACACUACCAUUCAAAAAACGUUUCUUUCCAACGUGCAGAUUAUGUUAUUUUAACACCUAAAUAAAACGUCCUAAAAAAGUUUUAAUAUAGUCUGGUUUCUCGUUGUUGGCCAAAUGUUAAUGUUUUGCAGCUAAAGAAAACAUACACAAUUAGUUUUUGCACAGCGUAUCUUUCUUUCCUGUUUUUUUUUUUUUUUUUUGUAGACUUUGUUAAUUUCUGGAAGAAUCUUAAUUUCUGUGCAUUUUGUUUGACAGAAAUCGCCGUCCAUGGACAGUUGUAGCCUACUGAUCACAAUAUUUUCCAAUUUCCACACACACAAACUUUUGGCCUGGUUGUAUUUUGGUACUGUUUUUACAUUUAUUACGUUAUUUUAACACCUGAAUAUAACAUAUUUCAAAAGUUGCAGUUUGGUCUUGUUUCGUUUGGUCGUAGACAAACGCGAUAUUUAAAUUUUUUUUUACUACUUAAAGAGAACAUUCCAGGUUGGUAUUUUUACAACGUUUUUAAAAUGUUUUAUUUUGGUUACGUUAUUUUUAAAUAUGUUCCCCAUUUGCGGGGAAAUCCCGGCCGCCGUUCGCAGGGAAAUCCCGGCCCACACAAGCCCGCCGUCAGAGAGAAUGGCAAGCCCGCCGUCUAAGAGUAUGGCAAGCCCGCCAGAGAAUCUUAAGUGCCCACCAGUGCCUGCUCCUCGCAAGUGCCCUCCAGUGCCUGCUCCUCGCAAGAGCCCUCCUACGUCUCCGCUGGUCCCAUCCAGCCCUCCUACGUCUCCGCUGGUCCCAUCCAGCUCUCCUACGUCUACGCUGGUCCCGUCCAGCUCCGCGCUUCCAGAGCACCCCCCAGUGCCUGCGCCACGAAGGCGUCUUCCUAUCUUCGCGCUUCCAGGGUGCCCCCAAGAGUCCCCGCUGGUCCCGUCCAGCUCCGCGCUUCCAGAGCGCCCCCAAGAGUCCGCGCUUCCAGAGCGCCCACCAGUGCCUGCGCCACGAAGGCGUCUCCCUAUCUCUGGGCUUCCAGAGCGCCCCCAAGAGUCUGCGCUUCCGGAGCGCCCCCCAGUGCCUGCGCCACGAAGGCGUCUUCCUAUCUCCUUGCUUCCAGAGAGCCCCCAGGAGUCCCCGCUUCCAGAGCGCCCCCAAGAGUCCGCGCUGCCAGAGCGCCCCCAAGAGCCCGCUCCCCCUGAACGCCAGCCUCAAACUACCCCUAAUUGGGGGGGGGUGGAUAGUAGGGCUCCUGCCGUAGAGACCGUGGUGGGGGCUGGGGCCGAGGUCUCGGAGGCAGACCCGCCAUGGCCUCCCGAGUUUUUGUGUUUGCUCGGUAAUCAUUCUGCAUCCUUGAUAUUGAAGGUAAGCACUUGAUAUGUACCUGCUUGUAAUUACUACUGUGGGAUUAUAGAUUAAAAAUAAGUUAUUAGACACUGUGGCGAUGUUUCUAAGCAGGCUUACUUUCCCAGGCUUUAAGCACAUGUGUUGGGCUAAAUUCCGUGUUUUCGUCGAUAUUUGGUGCAUUUAUGUCACAAUUCAAUGCUAGCUACACCUAACCAUUAACUACAUAACUUACGUUAAACCUGAACUCUACCCCAACAAUGGGAAGGGAAAACGGGAGAUAAAGUUAAUGCAGAGUCAAACACACCAUGCACCCGUUUUUCCUGUUUGUAAUUUAAGUUAAUGUAUCUAGCGUAAUGUGCCAUUUUUUAUGAUAUACCUGGGUACAUUUACGUAACUUGGCCUAUCGGUUAAAUCCGAAACACCAGAAGUUAAUGUUGAAUCAAUGUACACUUCUCAUCGCUCUUUUCAGUCUAGCUAACAUUUAUAGAGUUUUUAUUAAUAAAUCUAAAAAAUAAAAUAAAAUAAAAUAGAAAAAUAAAAAAUAUAUAUUUUUCUAUUUCAUUAUUAUUAUUAUUGUUUUAGAUUUCGUUUAGUGUGCCAAGUAGGGACUGUUGUUGUUAUUAGCUAAAUUAACUAACGUUGGCCUGGCCCUUCGUGUGUGUAUAUCGGUGAAAUAUUACUACAACGUUCUACAACUAGACAUUUCUGUCUUUUCAAACUUAAUAGAGUUCCAAAAUGCCACAAUGCUACCCAGCUUAUUGAAUACAGUAUGCAAAAAUUGUCAAGUAAUAUAUAUGAUGCAGUCGACCAUAUAUUUGAAAUGUCCUAACAAAUUGCAGGUAAAGUUAUGAAUGAAUAGGUAUGCAUGUUUUUUUUUAGGGAAAAAAAAAUAUUAGGGAAUAUAGUUAUAAACAUAAGUAAAACUCUUGAUAUUUAGUAACAGCAGCCAGUAACGUUAGUGGUAAUUUUCUUUGGCCCAGUUUUUAAAGUCAGUCUUUGAAAUUAGGAGAAUACUGCUUGUUGUGUGUUUUUCUGUUUUCUGGCCUUAGCAUACACAUUAGGGUAAAUCAGUUGCAGUUUUGCAGGUUAACUUUAUACACUUUUAUUUUUUUUUUCACAGCGGAAAUGUUCCUUUUUUUUUAUUCAAAAAAAGAAAUAGGCUACAUCACAAUAUAAAGCUGUCCCCAUGCUCUUCUGGUGUGAACUUCACCUUUAUUACAUGGUAAGUAGUUUUUUCUUAACAAUCACAUACAGAAUUGUCAAACUAACUAUCCUUGAACUUUCCUUUUCUUUCUCUUUCAGUGACAUGUAUGUGGCAGUGUGUUGCAAAGGAGAGUUAUUGAUAGGGAGUUCUUGCGGAUUUCAUCUGUACCACUGCUUUCUAUGUUCUUCACUGAGCUUGACCAGAACUGAGCACGAUUGAUGGAGAUCUUCAGUAGAAAAGGCGGGCAAUCAGGAAAAGAAAAAAAAAAAAAAUCACACAGAUCAUGGUUUCCAUCUCCAAGGAUGACACUAUGCAUACCAGAAGAGCCUGUGUCAUCAAGUCUCUGUGCACCUACUUGAAUGAAGACCCUGAAAAACUAGUGAAAGCAUAUUUGGAUUCAGACAUUGAGUCACAAAGUACCAUGGAGCAAACUGUGAUGGGAGUGUAUGUCAUACUGAAGGAGGGAGUGCUGCCUGACGAUGACCCACAGGACACUGGUGUCCUAAUUGAAGGUGUGGAAAUCCUCAGUGACUUGAGUAGCAUUUCACAGGCUUGUGCUCUAUUAUUUGGAUUCAUAUACUGUUUGAACCUGAGCUACCCACCAUGCACUUUUGAAGUCUUGCAGAAGAUCUUUCUAAAUCUAAAUGGACAGAGGUUGUCAUCCAAGGCACAGUUCCUCAAAAACAAGCUACUGGAGCAAGUGAGCUUGAGCAAGACUGGUGUACAUCAGACUAUCUCUUUUUUAUUAUUAUUAUUUUACAGCUCAAAAAAUUGUUACACUCACAAUUGUUUCUUUUAUGUUAUGUUCAUUCAUGUUUACGUUUUUAAAUGUUAUUUUUUGUGUGUCAGGCCAAGGUUUACCUUACAAAUUCCCAAAAAGGGUAGUGUUAAAAUGGCUUAAUUUUGAAGAAGUUUUAAGACCAAAAGGGCUUUAAAGUCCUACAAGCGUUGCUUGGGGAUCAGUUUUCUCAAGAGCCAAGAUUUUGUUGGCUAAAUGUUUCUUAUACAUUGUGUUACAAACACUCAAAUG
Molecule: RNA transcript, 4019 nt
Organism: Onychostoma macrolepis
Lineage: Eukaryota; Metazoa; Chordata; Actinopteri; Cypriniformes; Cyprinidae
Exons: 4
Source: RefSeq, a predicted model, not a curated record